This 492-nucleotide ribosomal RNA is filed under the name uncultured bacterium. RNAcentral's name for it is "partial 16S ribosomal RNA". It matches the Rfam family "Bacterial small subunit ribosomal RNA", at positions 29 to 507 of the family's 1533-position model. The record is from RNAcentral.
AGUGAACGCUGGCGGUAGGCCUAACACAUGCAAGUCGAACGGCAGCACAGUAAGAGCUUGCUCUUACGGGUGGCGAGUGGCGGACGGGUGAGGAAUACAUCGGAAUCUACUUUUUCGGGGGGGAUAGCGUAGGGAAACUUACGCUAAUACCGCAUACGACCUACGGGUGAAAGCAGUGGAGCUUCGGACCUUGCGCGAUUGAAUGAGCCGAUGCCGGAUUAGCUAGUUGGCGGGGUAAAGGCCCACCAAGGCGACGAUCCGUAGCUGGUCUGAGAGGAUGAUCAGCCACACUGGAACUGAGACACGGUCCAGACUCCUACGGGAGGCAGCAGUGGGGAAUAUUGGACAAUGGGCGCAAGCCUGAUCCAGCCAUGCCGCGUGGGUGAAGAAGGCCUUCGGGUUGUAAAGCCCUUUUGUUAGGAAAGAAAAGCAGCAGGUUAAUACCCCGCUGUUCUGACGGUACCCAAAGAAUAAGCACCGGCUAACUUCGUG